AAGGCCGCUCCUCGGUGUGGAAACUACUGUUUGACAGGAUCACAGAAUCAGAUCCCAGCCCAUGGAUCCCCCCUGUGCCCGAUGCCCCCCUUGUCCCCCAGCCCAGAGCACUGAGUGCCACGGCCAGGCCUUCCUGGGACACCUCCAGGGAUGGGCACUCCAAACCUCCCUGGGCAGCCCCUGACAAGGCCUCACCACCCUUUCCAGCAACAAAUUCCUCCUCCUGGCCAACCUGAGCCUCCCCUGGCACAGCCUGAGGCCGUUCCCUCUCCUCCUGUCCCUUGUUCCCUGGCAGCAGAGCCCGACCCCCCCCGGCUCCCCCCUCCUGUCAGGGACUUGCAGAGCCAGAAGGUCCCCCCUGAGCCUCCUUUUCUCCAGGCUGAGCUCCCCCAGCUCCCUCAGCUGCUCCUGCUGCUCCAGCCCCUUCCCAGCUCCGUUCCCUUCCCUGCACACGCUCCAGCCCCUCCGGGUCUCUCCUGUUGAGGGCCCAGAACUGGGCACCCAGGUGUGUCCUCAGAGAAGGCACCUUGAACCUUUCUGAGCGUAUGUAGCCCCCCUAAAACAUUAAAUUCCAGCAUCAGUGUGGCUUAAUCAGAGCAGCUGUGGCAUAGGAGGGUGUGAGAAGUUCACCUCCUAAAUCCGACUGGCAUCUUUCCAGUACCUGAAGGGAGCCUACAAGAAAGAUAGAGAGGGACUUUUUACAAGGGCAUGUAGUGAGAGCAGGUUCACAUUGGAUAUUAGGAGGACUCUCUUCCCUGUGAGGGUGGGGAGGCCCUGGCACAGGUUGCCCAGAGAAGCUGUGGCUGCCCCUGGAUCCCUGGAAGUGUCCAAGGCCAGGUUGGACUGGGCUUGGAGCAACCUGGGCUAGUGGGAGGUGUCCCUGCCCAUGGCAGGGGUGGGAUUGGAACAAGAUGAGCUUUAAUGUGCCUUCCAACCCAAACCAUUUGAUUUAUUCUUUGAUUCUGUGAUCCUGGCAGAGCUGGGCCUCCUCCUUCAGGAGGUGAGACGCUUUUGUUUACCUUCUUCAUCACAACAUCGAGAGCUCUGGAGAUGUGAGAAGUCAGCUGUUAUUAAUAAAAUCCUAGUUAACAUAAAAAUCACUGGACAGUUUAGCUUGGGAGCAACCUCUGAGUGUCACCAUCUCCAGGUAGAAAGAGGUUCAACUUUUGUUCCAUGGACACUAACACAUCCUAUUUCAAACCUUGCAUUCACAAAUUGUAACCUGUAAUACAAAAAAAGUAAACCAGUGGCUUUUUUCCCUGCAGAAAGGUAUUUUGUGGUGCCCACAGAGGGAUUCCUGCAUGUGCUGAGCCUGGUUUCCUGCAGGGCUGUUCCCCAGCGUGGGAAGAUCCCUAAGUUUUGAUUAAAAGUUUUCCCCUAUUUCA
This is a long non-coding RNA of Pseudopipra pipra, 1385 nucleotides long. RefSeq lists it as uncharacterized. The transcript is spliced from 2 exons. The record is from RefSeq and is a predicted model, not a curated record. NCBI's taxonomy places the organism in Eukaryota, Metazoa, Chordata, Aves, Passeriformes, Pipridae.